Molecule: ribosomal RNA, 468 nt
Filed under: uncultured bacterium
Lineage: Bacteria
Description: partial 16S ribosomal RNA
Rfam family: Bacterial small subunit ribosomal RNA
Source: RNAcentral
GACGAACGCUGGCGGCGUGCUUAACACAUGCAAGUCGAACGGAAAGGCCCUGCUUUUGUGGGGUGCUCGAGUGGCGAACGGGUGAGUAACACGUGAGUAACCUGCCCUUGACUUUGGGAUAACUUCAGGAAACUGGGGCUAAUACCGGAUAGGAGCUCCUGCUGAAUGGUGGGGGUUGGAAAGUUUCGGCGGUUGGGGAUGGACUCGCGGCUUAUCAGCUUGUUGGUGGGGUAGUGGCUUACCAAGGCUUUGACGGGUAGCGGGCCUGAGAGGGUGACCGGCCACAUUGGGACUGAGAUACGGCCCAGACUCCUACGGGAGGCAGCAGUGGGGAAUAUUGCACAAUGGGCGGAAGCCUGAUGCAGCAACGCCGCGUGCGGGAUGACGGCCUUCGGGUUGUAAACCGCUUUCGCCUGUGACGAAGCGUGAGUGACGGUAAUGGGUAAAGAAGCACCGGCUAACUACGUG